RNAcentral lists this small RNA (2114 nucleotides) under Pan troglodytes (chimpanzee). Its description in RNAcentral is "retained intron". The record is from RNAcentral. Lineage: Eukaryota; Metazoa; Chordata; Mammalia; Primates; Hominidae.
UUUUUAGAUGUUUUUGUUACUUAGAAAAUCAAAGGUCAUCUUUGCUAAAAAUGUGUAUUCCAGUUAGAAACACAAACAUCAACAGAGUCCUGUGUUUUGAAGUCCACCUUGUCAAUGUUGUAAGCCUAUCUUAUGAGAAAAUGAGAAAAGUCAACAUCUGCCUGCAUAAAGAGCUAAUUUGCCAAAAACUAACCAGAGUUGUUCAUCUGUGCUUUUCCUGAAAAUCUGUGAAGAACAAACUUGUUCCUCUAGUCAACUGAGGGAAAUGUCAUAGCAGAAGCAAAAGGACUCUUAGAUGGGUCUUGCUAAGAUUUCUCCAUCCAGUGAGUUCAUUUCCCAGUCUCAGUACUAUAAUAUCUUGAACAAUCAGUGCCUAUUUGUAUCCUUUAGAAUAGCUUGCCUAAGAUUAUUUUUUCCCUAAGAGUAAUUUUUAAACCUAUAAGUUUAACCUAUAAUUGCUUCAGUCUUCCAGUAUAUUUUACUUUUGUGACCUUAGCUAAAAUUGAAUUUUUACACAUGCCAGUUUUCAUUUUUUGACUGGAAGGAAUUUUUGAGUUUUGUUAGUUUUGGUUUUUGUUUGCACUUCAGAGAAAUAAACUUUUUUCCUCCCAGUUUUCUAAGUGAUUGUUCACAAGAGUUGUCUUUUUAUCCAUCCAAAGGGAUGAACUCAGGAGUGCAUAGCUUCUUCAGCCCAAUGUGCUGUCAGCAAAGGGGAGUCUAAUGACGUCAUUAGGGCUGUUACUCAGAGUUUGAAGGCUUUGAUAUGGGAGUGAAAGAGUGUGGAGAAGGCAGCGAACAGAGAGAGAGAAGAGGGGAGAAAAAAGGAAAGGAAUGGAAGUAAGGGGUGGGAAAUGAUUAGCUUGGGAACCACACAGAUUGUCCUUCUCUGGAACAGAAUCUCAGUGCACUGAAAAUAUAAGCGCUGCACCAGCCUGACACCAAUUCUUUGGGUUUAAAUUGUUAUGCACUGUUCCUCUGUCAUUCUGAAAUCCUUAUUCAUAAAUUGGCUCUUCUGUUUGGUGGGGUAUCUUUUUCUGGUCAUUUGUGCUGUCUGCAUUGGGCUGUCUCUUUUAUUUACUAUCUAAAACAUUCUAGGCUCGAAGGGAAUUGAAACGCUUGAAGGAGGAGGCUAGGCGUAAGCAUGCAGUUGCUGUCAUUUGGGCUUACUGGCUUGGACUGAAGGUACGUAGAGAAUACAGGAAAUUCUUCAGAGCCAAUGCUGGAAAGAAAAUCUAUGAGUUUACACUUCAGAGAAUUGUGCAAAAAUACUUCUUGGAAAUGAAAAAUAAGAUGCCUUCCUUAUCUCCAAUAGACAAGAAUUGGCCCUCAAGACCUUACUUAUUCUUGGAUUCUACUCACAAGGAGCUAAAAAGGAUUUUCCACUUGUGGAGGUGUAAAAAAUACAGGGACCAAUUCACAGACCAGCAGAAACUUAUUUAUGAAGAGAAACUAGAAGCCAGUGAACUCUUCAAAGACAAGAAGGCUUUAUACCCAUCUAGUGUUGGGCAACCAUUCCAAGGGGCUUACCUGGAAAUCAACAAGAACCCCAAGUAUAAGAAACUCAAAGAUGCCAUUGAAGAAAAGAUCAUCAUUGCUGAAGUCGUGAACAAAAUUAACCGUGCUAAUGGGAAGAGUACAUCUCGGAUUUUCCUCUUAACAAACAAUAAUCUCCUUCUUGCUGACCAAAAGUCUGGACAAAUCAAGUCAGAGGUUCCAUUGGUGGAUGUGACCAAGGUAUCAAUGAGCUCACAAAAUGAUGGCUUCUUCGCCGUCCAUCUCAAAGAGGGCUCAGAAGCAGCGAGUAAAGGAGACUUUCUCUUCAGCAGUGAUCACCUGAUUGAAAUGGCCACCAAGCUCUAUCGCACGACUCUCAGCCAAACCAAACAGAAGCUCAAUAUUGAGAUUUCCGAUGAGUUCCUGGUACAGUUCAGACAGGACAAAGUAUGUGUGAAGUUUAUUCAGGGAAACCAGAAAAAUGGGAGUGUCCCAACAUGUAAACGAAAAAACAACCGUCUCCUUGAAGUUGCUGUCCCUUAACUGGCGCCUCCUCUCUACUUUCAUGGACUUGUUUCUUUGUAAUAGUGCAAUUUGGUUUUGUUUUAUUUGGGGUUCAU